UCAAGGACUUGAGGCCUCCAAAUGUGGGUCGCGCUAACCCCUACGCCACCACGGCACGCCCUGUAUUUCCUUUUAACCUCAGUCCAGUUUCAGAAGGGAAGGAGUUUAGUUUGAUAUUUCAGUAAUGUGACAACUCUUUACUCUAGAAGUUGCACUGUCUCACCUCCGUUUGAUGCUCUGCAGAAUGAAGUGUGAGUUAAAGGGCUCCGCUACAGCACCUGAAUAAUGAAGGUUAAUGUCACGGCAUCAUUGAAUCACCUUUGAAGUGAUGCUAAAUGCGAUUAGAAGAGAUCACAAGUGCACUUUGGGUUCAUAGAAAGAGACUCAUACUGUUGGGGAGUGUUCUCCUUCUCCAUGACUUCUCUAACUGACUACUGGUCCCUGUGCGAUGAUUAGCCGCCUCCCCGGGGGAAGGGAGAGUUAGCAGAAGCAAACUCACUCUAAUGAGCUGAGCUCUUCUCCUCUCUUUCUCCACUACAACCCCAUCCCUCCUUCUCCUCCCCCGCCGAGGACUAGGGGGUCGUCGGGUGGUCCCGGGAGGGGGUCCGCAGCACACCUGUUCUCUUUCCACCCCACCCUCCUGUAAUCAGUGCAUUUCUGUACUUUUUCAGUGAUGAAGGAGAUGUUGUUCCUCUACCCACUGGGACCACAGACAUUGUUUUUGCGUAAUUUUUAUGCUUACAGCUCUCUGUCUCUGAUAUGGACUCUGUAUUUACUCUUCUUUUAGAUUUUAUAGCAUACUUAUAACAACAAAGCAGUUAAAAUUGUUUGAGCUGAGUAGGGACAAGACAAGUCACAAAAGGCCACCUGGCUUCAGGCAGCCCUACCCAUUUGGUUCCCAGGACAACACUUUCCUUCUGUUAAUGAGAGCACAUUUUUUGUUUACAUACGGACCUUAGGUCACUGACGACAAGCAGCGUCUUGGGACAAGGAUGAAGAGGUGGGUGGAAGAGAGCUGGGGCAGAUGGGUGCAUGUGUGUAGUGCCAAGAUGUGGCUGAACAAAACAUCAUACCUGCCGCCCCACAGCGUCGAGUCCCCAGAAGCCGGAGGGAGGACACGUGUUUUGGUGUGGGCUGGGAGGCGGGGAGGCCUGCCAGGCUGUAAGCGGAGCUUGUCCUGCUGCCCCUGGGGCAGGAAUCUGGCUCAAGACCAAAGGUUUCACCAUGUCUCAAAAGACCAAUGAAUACUUCCAAAUGGACUAAAGAAGCUGCAGCAGUGAGUCGUCUUCUCUAUUUCUCACUUUCUAUUUUCCUUUGUCUCUUUACUGCAAUCCCUCUUCGCCCCCCUUAAUUCACCCUCCAUUCGCAUCACAUGAUUCUGGGAGAUUGACAGCCUCCCCAAAGAGUGAGAGCUGGAACAGAUGGAAUAUGAAUGGUUCAGUCGUGUAUGAAAAAGGUGCCUGGCUGAAGGAAGCCAUGUAAGGGGACUCUCAAUUGCAAGUUAAGUAUGACUAAAUCCUAUACCCCCCACCCUUCUCCCUUUCACACACACACACACAUCCACCCACACGCCUUCAUACCCCAUUGGUUUGCCAAUACCUCCAGUACAUUUUUUAUCAAAUGAAAAGUAUACCUUUCAAGAGACAAUGACAACUGUCUUAUUGCAAAACAUUAGCCUCCUUUACGUUUUAGCGUUACUUAGAUUACAACAUGAUGCUAAAAAGAAUUUUGAAUUCCAAAAUAUUUCUGGACUUGCAUUUUGAGAUGAGCUUUUAUCUAAAUUCUUUUAUCUAAUAUAAAGCUGAAAGACAAAUGUGUGUAGCUUAAUCACGCAUGUAGAUUCAGUGUUUUAUCUGCUUCUUUUCUUAUGUUCUUCAGAAAAGAUGUGGAUGAGUUCGUCACACCUUCAAUGGCAAUCGAACAUACAGAACUUAAAAGUGACACAGGAUAGAAAAUGAGUAACACUGCUGCAUGAUGAACGGUGUCAUUGUCAUCAAGCUGUCUGUUUAUUGCCAUAAAAAUAUAACCACUUCCUGAGAGCGAUUUAUUUUUUUUUAGAAACAUUCAAAAUGAAUAAGAGAAAUCCAAGUCCAGAUUUUUGUUUAAAUUACACAAUUCUUUGGGCUAAAGUGUGACAAAUUCAUUUGAUCUGUUUUCAAACAUAAAUUUAACAAUAUUGCAUCUGUUUGUUGAGGUUUGUAACCUUCAUGAGGAGAAGAGGAGAUUUUUGAGAAAGUUUGCCAUGAUAUAUCCUAAGCUUUCACUGUUAAUCAUGUUGGUCUCAAAAAAAUUUGACAUUAACAUCUUUUCUCUUUUUUAUUUUGUCAAGACUUUAUGAUUAACUACUGAGGCUUAAAGUCCUGCUGUGCAGCUAUCCAACAAUUGUUACUGCCAUUUUUGUUUAUCUACAGCUUGACACCUUAAUAGUCUUCUUAUUGUCACUCACCACCGAACGUCUUCAGGAUUUAUAAUACUUUGCACUGGACAACUUUUAUUCUGAGUCUCUCCACUCUUCCUCCAGAUCUUGCAAUGGAUCUGGAUUUAAUAAAACGCAGAGGUUACUUUAAUCUGUCCGCAGAUUAAAGUCCCCACAAUGAAAAACUGUUUUACACCCCUACACUAAAGAAUUGAUUCCAUCUGCACUCCACGCAUUGUGAAGGUCCUCCAAACUCUUUGCUCCAUAGUUUUCUCACUGCUGGAUUCCCUGUUGCUUUUUCUAACACAAUUCUGCCUUCCGCUAAACUUUAUAUUUAUAUGCUUGGUUGGAGCACUCUGCAAACAACCAGCUUCCUUAGUAAAAACCUUUUGUGAUUUUUUCCCCUUUUGGAGGCUGCUAGUAGACAUCUGAUGGACAGCUGUCAAGUCAGCAUUCUUCCCCAUGAUUUUAUAGACUUUAACACGGCAACAUUUUAACAUUUCCAUGUUCAUUUUUUAAAUUGUUCAUCUGUUAUAUUUUCAUUUCUAAAGAGCUGAACUUUGGGUUUCUACUAGUUGUAAGCCAGGUCAUGAAAACUAAACAAAUUGCUAAUUUGAAUUAACUUUGAUAAUAUUCAAAUGUACAGCUGUUAACCUGUUAGGCUGAACGGUUUGUUUAUUUUAACGCCACAUUCACUGUUGUUUUUAUUCAAUUUUGUUCGCAAUUUUUCUGCAUGUGUUUUAUGUACGAGCCGUAAUGUUAUGUCAACAAGUGAAUGCAGAUUCUUUUUGGCACAGCACAUUGAAAUAUUUUAAUAAAUGUGCAUAAAGCAUAAGGAACCCUAAGAAACUAGCAAUUGCUACACAACUUUUACUCACCCCUUUAAUUUAUAGGGGUCAAAAUGAGAGCUCCAUAAUGUAAAAGUCUAAUUUGUUAUUUUACUGUUGAAUAAUCAAAAUGUGCUUGCAAAAUAAGUUGCCCCUUCUGAAAGACAGCUAACCUCACUUCUCUGUCUGUUCCAUGCAAAAAUGUGUCUCCUGUUUGUUUUAAGAUAUCAAACAGAAGCUGCUCCAUGACUCUGUUUCAAAGUUGCGCCAUCUCCUAAUCUCCCUGAUACGGAUCCAGGACCAUUUUCUCCUCUGUGCUGCCGUGGUCUGCAGCCUCUCUCCGCCGGCCUGAAAACAAACGGCCUAAGAAAAUAUCCGGGAUGAGAAGAAGGCAGAAGGAGGAAGAUGAGAGCCGUCUGUCGGCCACGCAGGGCCUGUUUUUGAAUUUCUGAUCAAAAGUUGCGGCGGAGACCACCGCCGAAUCCCGGCCUCCCAAACAUCUGCUGUCAUAUCAUUCUGAAUUAUUUAUUUGUUGAUCCUUCUGAAUGCAUGUAUCCGUCCUUUUUCCCCCCUCUUGAGUCCAUUUGAAAGAGUUUGCAUGUGUGCAUGCGGGCCGUCAUAUUCUUAGAAAAAUGAAACUCUUCAAUCAACAACAACAAAAUGAUCUGCUGGUUUGUGGAUUCCCCGCGAGCUCCAAAUGGAUUCAGAUGGAAAACACACACACCCAACUGCCAGCUGCACUUAUUCUAACAGCGGGCAGCGAUAUUUCUGCCAUAGACGUGGCAGAAACGCAGCUCUUAUUUUAGCUCCAACACAAUCACUAAGUGGCACAUCUCAUUAGAAUGAUUUAGGCAAAGUAAAAAUGAUAUUACGAUAAUUCCACAAAUGCUAUCAGCGGGUUCAUCCUCCCAAAUGAUCAUUUAAGUCCUGCUUGUAAUAGCAAUGAGACUGUUACUGGGGUUAUUCAUUUCAGACUGUGUUAAGCACAGCACGCGCUGCCAUUAGAGCGCAGUACCCGUACGUUUAUGUUCACUGAAAUGAGAUUCUGGGAGGAAAUAGAUGCACUGAUGAGCCUCUGUAGCUGCAGCUCUAAAUGAAAGAGACUCAAAAGUUUGAUGAGGACAAAGUUACAGCCAGUGUGUUGCUGUGGAGGUUUCCCACACAGACAGCAGCCAGCAUUGUGUGAUUGUGCUAAUUGGAUCAGACCUAUUGUUGCUUGUGGGCCAACACCUCUUUCUUUACCUUCUUUACAGCUGACUAACAGCAGCUUCUUUACAGAGGUGUUAAAACCUUUAACAAGUACUCUUUUUCUGACUCAGCUAGGUAUAUAGAGCAGAGGAUUUCAGAUAGCACACCCUAAUAAUUUAUGCAAUUCAUUUGAUUAUUUUUUUAUUAUUUGCCUUAUGUCAAGUAAAGGAUCGAAUGGGAAUAUAGCAAGUAAAACAUAUUGUUGAAACAUGAAAUUUGCAUAUGCUUUAGUAGAAAUCAAAACAUUAUUUUUAACUGGUUGACAUUACAUGGUCUGGUCUGUUCAGGUUAGUUUAGGAUUACACCAGAACAGAUUUAACCCAGUCAGGUUUGCAGACUGCCUUUCACAUAUGUAUCUGACUGAACAUUUCUCUGGGAUUUAAAAUAUGGUUUUCUGACGAAGAUUCCAGCAUAUUGACUUUAUUGUCUGUAAACCACUCUAUAACUUCUUUGGUUAUAUGCUUAGUGUCACUGUCUCAUUGUAAGAAUCAUUUAUGCCCAAGCUUUAACUUCCUGGCUGAAAUCCAAUAAUAAAACAUAAUGAUUUUCUCCA
Molecule: long non-coding RNA, 4984 nt
Organism: Xiphophorus hellerii (green swordtail)
Lineage: Eukaryota; Metazoa; Chordata; Actinopteri; Cyprinodontiformes; Poeciliidae
Exons: 2
Source: RefSeq, a predicted model, not a curated record